UAAAGUUUAGUUUAUAUAAAACAAAUGUUUUGAAAACAUUAAUAGGAGGCUUCUCCAACUUUUA
RNAcentral lists this transfer RNA (64 nucleotides) under Faxonius punctimanus. RNAcentral's name for it is "tRNA-Ser". Lineage: Eukaryota; Metazoa; Arthropoda; Malacostraca; Decapoda; Cambaridae. The record is from RNAcentral.